UAAAAGGUAGGGUGUCAAACCCUAGAGUUAUAACCCUAAACACUGUAGAGUAAUAGAGAAAAUCUCUGAUAUUUUAUUAA
This 80-nucleotide small RNA is filed under the name Salix viminalis (osier). The record is from RNAcentral. Lineage: Eukaryota; Viridiplantae; Streptophyta; Magnoliopsida; Malpighiales; Salicaceae.